This is a long non-coding RNA of Calidris pugnax (ruff), 509 nucleotides long. RefSeq lists it as uncharacterized. NCBI's taxonomy places the organism in Eukaryota, Metazoa, Chordata, Aves, Charadriiformes, Scolopacidae. The transcript has 4 exons. The record is from RefSeq and is a predicted model, not a curated record.
UUUUUUUUUUUUUGUGGUUGGACUCGAUGAUCUCAAAGGUCCCUUCCAACCAUGAAGAUUCCGUGAUUCUGUUCUCUCGUACUGAUUGUCUGUGUGCUGUAGUGGGUGCUCUUGAUGUGACUUGAGGGUUUCCACAAAAGGGUGUUUUACAAGUAGUUUAGAGGAACAACUUUCUCUCCACCAGAAAAUUGAUACCCCUGUCAACAGGAAGGAGAGUCUUCAACUCUUUUUGUCCACCAACUGCACAUCGUGAAUGCAUGUUCUGCCAACUUACUGCAGCAUUUUAGUGGAGCUUUGGUUUAAAUCAAGAUUUCUGCUAUAUUCUAGUUCCAGUUGAAAAAUGGACGACGAUGACUUUGGAGGAUUUGAGGCAGCAGAGAGUUACGAGUUUGGAAAUGGUGAAAAGCAGACUACAUCCCCUGCUAUUGCUUGGGCAGCAUUUCCUACAGGUAUUGAUAAUAUCACUAAAAAAAAUUCUUAACAAUAUAUUGCUGUUCUUCUGUAUUCAC